Molecule: ribosomal RNA, 491 nt
Filed under: uncultured Pseudoxanthomonas sp.
Lineage: Bacteria; Pseudomonadati; Pseudomonadota; Gammaproteobacteria; Lysobacterales; Lysobacteraceae
Description: bacterial SSU rRNA
Rfam family: Bacterial small subunit ribosomal RNA
Source: RNAcentral
UGGGCGCAAGCCUGAUCCAGCCAUACCGCGUGGGUGAAGAAGGCCUUCGGGUUGUAAAGCCCUUUUGUUGGGAAAGAAAAGCAUUCGGUUAAUACCCGGGUGUUCUGACGGUACCCAAAGAAUAAGCACCGGCUAACUUCGUGCCAGCAGCCGCGGUAAUACGAAGGGUGCAAGCGUUACUCGGAAUUACUGGGCGUAAAGCGUGCGUAGGUGGUGAUUUAAGUCCGUUGUGAAAGCCCUGGGCUCAACCUGGGAAUUGCAGUGGAUACUGGGUCACUAGAGUGUGGUAGAGGAUAGUGGAAUUUCCGGUGUAGCAGUGAAAUGCGUAGAGAUCGGAAGGAACAUCUGUGGCGAAGGCGACUAUCUGGGCCAACACUGACACUGAGGCACGAAAGCGUGGGGAGCAAACAGGAUUAGAUACCCUGGUAGUCCACGCCCUAAACGAUGCGAACUGGAUGUUGGGUUCAACUUGGAACCCAGUAUCGCAGCUA